GUGCUCGCUUCAACAGCACAUAUACUAAAAUUGGAACCAUGCAAAGAUUAGCAUGGCCCUGCACAAGAAUGACUCGCAAAUUCACAAAGUGUUCCAUAUUAAA
Small nuclear RNA from Suncus etruscus (white-toothed pygmy shrew), 103 nucleotides. The record is from RefSeq and is a predicted model, not a curated record. Lineage: Eukaryota; Metazoa; Chordata; Mammalia; Eulipotyphla; Soricidae.